UAAAUUGCUGUGGUAUUUUGACUAUACGAAGGUAUUGAAAUAAGAUUUUAAAUGGAUGCUAAGAGAAUGGCUGAACAAAGAUUAACUUUCUUAAGAAAAAUUAUUAGAAGUUGGUUUUUAUGUGAAAAAACAUUAAUGUUUUUUUGGGACAAGAAGACCCUAUGAAUUUUUAUUUUACUUAGAAUUUAAAGAUAAAAUUUAAUUGGGGUGAUUUUUAAAGAUUAAUAAUCUUUAAAAAUUUUUAAUUUGAUCCGCUAAUAGCGAUUGUAUAAAAAAAAUACUCUAGGGAUAACAGCGUAAUAAUUUUGGAUAGUUCUUAUUGAUAAAAUUGAUUGCGACCUCGAUGUUGGAUUAAGAUUCUUUUUUAAUGAAGAAGUUAAAAUAAGAAGUUUGCUCAACUUUUAAUAUCUUACUUGAUCUGAGUUCA
This 427-nucleotide ribosomal RNA is filed under the name Argas miniatus. Its description in RNAcentral is "partial large subunit ribosomal RNA". The stretch from base 147 to 427 matches the Rfam family "Bacterial large subunit ribosomal RNA", at positions 2078 to 2613 of the family's 2925-position model. Lineage: Eukaryota; Metazoa; Arthropoda; Arachnida; Ixodida; Argasidae. The record is from RNAcentral.